GCCAAAUGAUGCAAAACAAAUUAUUGCUGAGAUUUCUUUGAGGACUUACAAAAUCGAGCUUUUUAAAACUGAUGGCU
Molecule: small nucleolar RNA, 77 nt
Organism: Panicum hallii
Lineage: Eukaryota; Viridiplantae; Streptophyta; Magnoliopsida; Poales; Poaceae
Source: RefSeq, a predicted model, not a curated record